RNAcentral lists this transfer RNA (73 nucleotides) under Trichonephila inaurata madagascariensis. It matches the Rfam family "tRNA". Rfam says of the family: Transfer RNA (tRNA) molecules are approximately 80 nucleotides in length. Lineage: Eukaryota; Metazoa; Arthropoda; Arachnida; Araneae; Nephilidae. The record is from Rfam by way of RNAcentral.
CUCCCCGUAGCGUAAUGGAUAGCACGUUGGACUUCUGAUCUAAAGGUCGUGGGUUCAAAUCCCACCUGGGAGG